CGUGCGUCGGACUACCAUGCAGUCGAGCGGAAACGAGUUAUCUGAACCUUCGGGGAACGAUAACGGCGUCGAGCGGCGGACGGGUGAGUAAUGCCUAGGAAAUUGCCCUGAUGUGGGGGAUAACCAUUGGAAACGAUGGCUAAUACCGCAUGAUGCCUACGGGCCAAAGAGGGGGACCUUCGGGCCUCUCGCGUCAGGAUAUGCCUAGGUGGGAUUAGCUAGUUGGUGAGGUAAGGGCUCACCAAGGCGACGAUCCCUAGCUGGUCUGAGAGGAUGAUCAGCCACACUGGAACUGAGACACGGUCCAGACUCCUACGGGAGGCAGCAGUGGGGAAUAUUGCACAAUGGGCGCAAGCCUGAUGCAGCCAUGCCGCGUGUGUGAAGAAGGCCUUCGGGUUGUAAAGCACUUUCAGUCGUGAGGAAGGUAGUGUAGUUAAUAGCUGCAUUAUUUGACGUUAGCGACAGAAGAAGCACCGGCUAACUCCGUGCCAGCAGCCGCGGUAAUACGGAGGGUGCGAGCGUUAAUCGGAAUUACUGGGCGUAAAGCGCAUGCAGGUGGUUUGUUAAGUCAGAUGUGAAAGCCCGGGGCUCAACCUCGGAAUAGCAUUUGAAACUGGCAGACUAGAGUACUGUAGAGGGGGGUAGAAUUUCAGGUGUAGCGGUGAAAUGCGUAGAGAUCUGAAGGAAUACCGGUGGCGAAGGCGGCCCCCUGGACAGAUACUGACACUCAGAUGCGAAAGCGUGGGGAGCAAACAGGAUUAGAUACCCUGGUAGUCCACGCCGUAAACGAUGUCUACUUGGAGGUUGUGGCCUUGAGCCGUGGCUUUCGGAGCUAACGCGUUAAGUAGACCGCCUGGGGAGUACGGUCGCAAGAUUAAAACUCAAAUGAAUUGACGGGGGCCCGCACAAGCGGGGGAGCAUGUGGUUUAAUUCGAUGCAACGCGAAGAACCUUACCUACUCUUGACUUCCAGAGAACUUUCCAAAAAUGGAUUGGGGCCUUCGGGAACUCUGAAACAGGGGCUGCAUGGUUGGCCUC
This 1037-nucleotide ribosomal RNA is filed under the name uncultured bacterium. Its description in RNAcentral is "bacterial SSU rRNA". It matches the Rfam family "Bacterial small subunit ribosomal RNA", at positions 43 to 1056 of the family's 1533-position model. The record is from RNAcentral.